RNAcentral lists this transfer RNA (75 nucleotides) under Ensifer meliloti. RNAcentral describes it as "Sinorhizobium meliloti tRNA-Gln". It matches the Rfam family "tRNA". From Rfam's summary of the family: Transfer RNA (tRNA) molecules are approximately 80 nucleotides in length. The record is from RNAcentral. Lineage: Bacteria; Pseudomonadati; Pseudomonadota; Alphaproteobacteria; Hyphomicrobiales; Rhizobiaceae.
UUUGGACUCGCCUAAUGGUAGGGCAGCUGCCUCUGAAGCAGAAGGUUCCAGGUUCGAGUCCUGGGUCCAAAACCA